RNAcentral lists this ribosomal RNA (877 nucleotides) under uncultured bacterium. Its description in RNAcentral is "bacterial SSU rRNA". It matches the Rfam family "Bacterial small subunit ribosomal RNA", at positions 547 to 1425 of the family's 1533-position model. The record is from RNAcentral.
GNAUUUAUUGGGCGUAAAGGGAGCGCAGGCGGUUUAGUAAGUCUGAAGUUAAAGGCAUUGGCUCAACCAANGUAUGCUUUGGAAACUGUUAGACUUGAGUGCAGAAGGGGAGAGUGGAAUUCCAUGUGUAGCGGUGAAAUGCGUAGAUAUAUGGAGGAACACCGGUGGCGAAAGCGGCUCUCUGGUCUGUCACUGACGCUGAGGCUCGAAAGCGUGGGUAGCGAACAGGAUUAGAUACCCUGGUAGUCCACGCCGUAAACGCUGAGUGCUAGGUGUUAGGUCCUUUCCGGGACUUAGUGCCGACGCUAACGCAUUAAGCACUCCGCCUGGGGAGUACGACCGCAAGGUUGAAACUCAAAGGAAUUGACGGGGGCCCGCACAAGCGGUGGAGCAUGUGGUUUAAUUCGAAGCAACGCGAAGAACCUUACCAGGUCUUGACAUCCCGAUGCCCGCUCUAGAGAUAGAGUUUUUCUUCGGAACAUCGGAGACAGGUGGUGCAUGGUUGUCGUCAGCUCGUGUCGUGAGAUGUUGGGUUAAGUCCCGCAACGAGCGCAACCCUUAUUGUUAGUUGCCAUCAUUAAGUUGGGCACUCUAGCGAGACUGCCGGUAAUAAACCGGAGGAAGGUGGGGAUGACGUCAAAUCAUCAUGCCCCUUAUGACAUGGGCUACACACGUGCUACAAUGGUUGGUACAACGAGUCGCAAGCCGGUGACGGCAAGCUAAUCUCUGAAAGCCAAUCUCAGUUCGGAUUGUAGGCUGCAACUCGCCUACAUGAAGUCGGAAUCGCUAGUAAUCGCGGAUCAGCACGCCGCGGUGAAUACGUUCCCGGGCCUUGUACACACCGCCCGUCACACCACGAGAGUUUGUAACACCCAAA